CUGGUAGUCCACGCUGUAAACGAUGUCGAUUUGAAGGUUGUUCCCUUGAGGAGUGGCUUUCGGAGCUAACGCGUUAAAUCGACCGCCUGGGGAGUACGGCCGCAAGGUUAAAACUCAAAUGAAUUGACGGGGGCCCGCACAAGCGGUGGAGCAUGUGGUUUAAUUCGAUGCAACGCGAAGAACCUUACCUACUCUUGACAUCCAGAGAACUUAGCAGAGAUGCUUUGGUGCCUUCGGGAACUCUGAGACAGGUGCUGCAUGGCUGUCGUCAGCUCGUGUUGUGAAAUGUUGGGUUAAGUCCCGCAACGAGCGCAACCCUUAUCCUUUGUUGCCAGCGAUUCGGUCGGGAACUCAAAGGAGACUGCCGGUGAUAAACCGGAGGAAGGUGGGGAUGACGUCAAGUCAUCAUGGCCCUUACGAGUAGGGCUACACACGUGCUACAAUGGCGUAUACAAAGAGAAGCGACCUCGCGAGAGCAAGCGGAACUCAUAAAGUACGUCGUAGUCCGGAUUGGAGUCUGCAACUCGACUCCAUGAAGUCGGAAUCGCUAGUAAUCGUAGAUCAGAAUGCUACGGUGAAUACGUUCCCGGGCCUUGUACACACCGCCCGUCACACCAUGGGAGUGGGUUGCAAAAGAAGUAGGUAGCUUAACCUUCGGGAGGGCGCUUACCACUUUGUGAUUCAUGACUGGGGUGAAGUCGUAA
Molecule: ribosomal RNA, 704 nt
Filed under: uncultured bacterium
Lineage: Bacteria
Description: bacterial SSU rRNA
Rfam family: Bacterial small subunit ribosomal RNA
Source: RNAcentral